GACGAACGCUGGCGGCGUGCCUAAUACAUGCAAGUAGAACGCUGAAGGAGGAGCUUGCUUCUCUGGAUGAGUUGCGAACGGGUGAGUAACGCGUAGGUAACCUGCCUGGUAGCGGGGGAUAACUAUUGGAAACGAUAGCUAAUACCGCAUAAUAGCAGUUAUUGCAUGAUAACUGUUUGAAAGGUGCAAUUGCACCACUACCAGAUGGACCUGCGUUGUAUUAGCUAGUUGGUGGGGUAACGGCUCACCAAGGCGACGAUACAUAGCCGACCUGAGAGGGUGAUCGGCCACACUGGGACUGAGACACGGCCCAGACUCCUACGGGAGGCAGCAGUAGGGAAUCUUCGGCAAUGGACGGAAGUCUGACCGAGCAACGCCGCGUGAGUGAAGAAGGUUUUCGGAUCGUAAAGCUCUGUUGUAAGAGAAGAACGAGUGUGAGAGUGGAAAGUUUCACACUGUGACGG
This 464-nucleotide ribosomal RNA is filed under the name Streptococcus mitis. RNAcentral describes it as "bacterial SSU rRNA". It matches the Rfam family "Bacterial small subunit ribosomal RNA", at positions 28 to 475 of the family's 1533-position model. Lineage: Bacteria; Bacillati; Bacillota; Bacilli; Lactobacillales; Streptococcaceae. The record is from RNAcentral.